RNAcentral lists this ribosomal RNA (400 nucleotides) under uncultured bacterium. RNAcentral describes it as "bacterial SSU rRNA". It matches the Rfam family "Bacterial small subunit ribosomal RNA", at positions 358 to 774 of the family's 1533-position model. The record is from RNAcentral.
GGAAUAUUGCGCAAUGGGCGAAAGCCUGACGCAGCAACGCCGCGUGGGGGAUGAAGGCCUUCGGGUUGUAAACCCCUUUCAGGAGGGAAGAAAUUGACGGUACCUCCAAAAGAAGCCCCGGCCAACUACGUGCCAGCAGCCGCGGUAAUACGUAGGGGGCGAGCGUUGUCCGGAAUCAUUGGGCGUAAAGAGCUCGUAGGCGGUUCAGAUAGUCGGCGGUGAAAGUCCGAGGCUCAACCUCGGAAUUGCCGUCGAUACUGCUGUGACUCGAGUCCGGUAGAGGAGAAUGGAAUUCCCGGUGUAGCGGUGAAAUGCGCAGAUAUCGGGAGGAACACCAGUAGCGAAGGCGGUUCUCUGGGCCGGUACUGACGCUGAGGAGCGAAAGCGUGGGUAGCAAACA